GUACUCACUUUGACGGUGCGUGUACUGAAACUGGAAGGAUACAGAAUAGACUAGCAUGGACCCUGAGCAAAGAUGACAUGAAAAAAAGUUAGCAGAUCAUUUGCCUA
Schistocerca gregaria is the source of this 107-nucleotide small nuclear RNA. NCBI's taxonomy places the organism in Eukaryota, Metazoa, Arthropoda, Insecta, Orthoptera, Acrididae. The record is from RefSeq and is a predicted model, not a curated record.